AUACUACUCCAUACAAUUUCUUCAAUGAGGAAACUGUAAAGGGAUUUGGGAGAUUGCAGUGAAUACUGCUCUCCUUGAAUAAAUUAGCAGUGAUUAUUCUUAAAGAUCCUUUGGUUGAUGUGAUAGUUAUCUCCUCUCAACUUUUCUUUGAAUAAUUCAUUUCUGCUUAAAGUCGUCUUUACUACAAAGACAGUUAUAAC
RNAcentral lists this unclassified non-coding RNA (200 nucleotides) under uncultured Asterostroma. RNAcentral describes it as "sequence contains ITS2". The record is from RNAcentral. Lineage: Eukaryota; Fungi; Basidiomycota; Agaricomycetes; Russulales; Lachnocladiaceae.